ACAGUGUCUGGUGGGUAGUUUGACUGGGGCGGUCUCCUCCCAAAGCGUAACGGAGGAGCACGAAGGUUAGCUAAUCCUGGUCGGACAUCAGGAGGUUAGUGCAAUGGCAUAAGCUAGCUUGACUGCGAGCGUGACGGCGCGAGCAGGUGCGAAAGCAGGUCAUAGUGAUCCGGUGGUUCUGAAUGGAAGGGCCAUCGCUCAACGGAUAAAAGGUACUCCGGGGAUAACAGGCUGAUACCGCCCAAGAGUUCAUAUCGACGGCGG
This 264-nucleotide ribosomal RNA is filed under the name Klebsiella pneumoniae. RNAcentral's name for it is "partial 23S ribosomal RNA". It matches the Rfam family "Bacterial large subunit ribosomal RNA", at positions 2251 to 2514 of the family's 2925-position model. The record is from RNAcentral. Lineage: Bacteria; Pseudomonadati; Pseudomonadota; Gammaproteobacteria; Enterobacterales; Enterobacteriaceae.